UACAGAGGGUGCGAGCGUUGUCCGGAAUUACUGGGCGUAGAGGGCGCGUAGGCGGCUUGGUAAGUCGGGGGUGAAAGUCAGCGGCUCAACCGCUGGACUGCCUUCGAGACUGCCUGGCUUGAGCAUGGUAGAGGCUGGCGGAAUUCCCGGUGUAGCGGUGGAAUGCGUAGAGAUCGGGAAGAACAUCGGUGGCGAAGGCGGCCAGCUGGGCCAUUGCUGACGCUGAGGCGCGACAGCGUGGGGAGCAAACAGG
Molecule: ribosomal RNA, 253 nt
Filed under: uncultured bacterium
Lineage: Bacteria
Description: partial 16S ribosomal RNA
Rfam family: Bacterial small subunit ribosomal RNA
Source: RNAcentral